UAUCUCUGUAGAGUCUGCAUAUCAAUAAGCGGAGGAAAAGAAACUAACUAGGAUUCCCUCAGUAACGGCGAGUGAAGCGGGAAGAGCUCAAAUUUGAAAUCUUCAAGGUUCUACCUUGACGAAUUGUAGUUUAAAGAAGUGUUUUCUGUUGGAGUUUUGGUAAAAGUUCUUUGGAAUAGGACAUCAUAGAGGGUGAGAAUCCCGUAUUUGACCAUUAUUUCCAGCUUCGUGAUACACUUUCAAAGAGUCGGAUUGUUUGGGAAUGCAGUCCAAAAUGGGUGGUAAAUUUCAUCUAAAGCUAAAUACUGGCGAGAGACCGAUAGCGAACAAGUACCGUGAGGGAAAGAUGAAAAGAACUUUGAAAAGAGAGUUAAACAGUACGUGAAAUUGUCAAAAGGGAAGCGUUUGACACCAGUGUUGUUUUCUCGAAAAUCAAUUAAGAAAGGUUGACUUUGUGUUGUUAUGACCUUAUCAGCUUACUGUACUCUUUUCGAGUCUUUUUUAAUGCACUUUUCUGUUAACAAGUCAACAUCAAUUUCUUUUGUUGUAAAAGAGUCAUUGGAAGGUGGCUUUACUUUCGGAUGAAAGUGUUUAUAGCCUUUGGCUUCUGCAAUCGGAGAGAUUGAGGUCUGCAGCGUAGAUCCUUCGGGGCUAGAUACAUUAGAUGCUAAGUUAUAGCUUUUUAUAGACAACUUGUUGACUAUGAUUAAGUCAUGUAGCUUACUCGCUUAUGCCUAUUUUACCUACGCUUAGGAUGUUGACGAGACUGUCGAUCUC
Molecule: ribosomal RNA, 777 nt
Filed under: uncultured Neocallimastigales
Lineage: Eukaryota; Fungi; Neocallimastigomycota; Neocallimastigomycetes; Neocallimastigales
Description: partial large subunit ribosomal RNA
Rfam family: Eukaryotic large subunit ribosomal RNA
Source: RNAcentral